GACGAACGCUGGCGGCGUGCUUAACACAUGCAAGUCGAACGGAAAGGCCCUGCUUUCGUGGGGUGCUCGAGUGGCGAACGGGUGAGUAACACGUGAGUAACCUGCCCUUGACUUUGGGAUAACUUCAGGAAACUGGGGCUAAUACCGGAUAGGAGCUCCUGCUGCAUGGUGGGGGUUGGAAAGUUUCGGCGGUUGGGGAUGGACUCGCGGCUUAUCAGCUUGUUGGUGGGGUAGUGGCUUACCAAGGCUUUGACGGGUAGCCGGCCUGAGAGGGUGACCGGCCACAUUGGGACUGAGAUACGGCCCAGACUCCUACGGGAGGCAGCAGUGGGGAAUAUUGCACAAUGGGCGGAAGCCUGAUGCAGCAACGCCGGGUGCGGGAUGACGGCCUUCGGGUUGUAAACCGCUUUCGCCUGUGACGAAGCGUGAGUGACGGUAAUGGGUAAAGAAGCACCGGCUAACUACGUG
RNAcentral lists this ribosomal RNA (468 nucleotides) under uncultured bacterium. RNAcentral's name for it is "partial 16S ribosomal RNA". It matches the Rfam family "Bacterial small subunit ribosomal RNA", at positions 28 to 507 of the family's 1533-position model. The record is from RNAcentral.